RNAcentral lists this long non-coding RNA (312 nucleotides) under Elaeis guineensis (African oil palm). RNAcentral describes it as "long non-coding RNA (EGUI_LNC027058)". The record is from RNAcentral. Lineage: Eukaryota; Viridiplantae; Streptophyta; Magnoliopsida; Arecales; Arecaceae.
CUUUGAUCAUCCAAACUUGAUUGCUCCAGUAACGUUGCAUGAACCAGCAAUCAGCGUAGAAUGUCGCUCGACUAUCUCGCCAAAUGCUUAAAUAUGGCAGGGAAUAGCAUUAUUUGGAUAAAGUGAUUUAUUCAAAUAAUUCUAUUCCACCUAUAUGAUUGAAUAAAAUUAUUGAAUGAAAAAGGGGGAAUUUAUUCCUUCCUGUUGUGGAUGGGCAUCGGGGGCUUCGAGCCCGAAAGUCCCAUACCGGAAGUUUACAAAAGAGGCUACUGCUUAAGUAUUGCCAGCCUCCCUCUCCCACGUGAGGCGCCU